CCCUUAGAUGUUCUGGGCCGCACGCGCGCUACACUGAUGCAUUCAACGAGCCUAGCCUUGACCGAGAGGUCCGGGUAAUCUUUGAAACUGCAUCGUGAUGGGGCUAGAUUAUUGCAAUUAUUAAUCUUCAACGAGGAAUGCCUAGUAAGCGUGAUUCAUCAAAUCGCGUUGAUUACGUCCCUGCCCUUUGUACACACCGCCCGUCGCUCCUACCGAUUGAGUGUGUUGGUGAGGAGUUCGGAUUGGCUCUUAGUGGUGGUUCGCCACCACCUAGAGCUGAGAAGUUCUCCAAACCGCCCCACUUAGAGGAAGGAGAAGUCGUAACA
Molecule: ribosomal RNA, 326 nt
Filed under: uncultured eukaryote
Lineage: Eukaryota
Description: partial 18S ribosomal RNA
Rfam family: Eukaryotic small subunit ribosomal RNA
Source: RNAcentral